AACGUAAGUGACUCCACCAGUGGUACCGAAUACGGUGGAGUCCAGAAGCUGGAGGCAGUUUCAUUAGCGGAGUUGAACGCCUACGUUCUAACCUCACUCCACAAGUACGUUUUCUGAUUUAACAUCUACUCAAGCGUUCUAAUAUUCAGGACAUUAAACCCAUAUAACUCACUUAAACACAAAAUAUUGAGUUCAUAUUCAGGACAAUGUCUCCUCCUGCACAUGCACUAUAUGUUUUAACGCAAGUGCUGUUGGAGUUGUGAGAUAACGUGUUGAGAUGAUGGUGGCAAAUGGAGAAGAAUCGCUGUCUUUGUUGCCUUCGACACAGCUAUCACUAAGCUCACCUAUGCCAGGGCCACAGAGGUUUCCAACCCUAUUGGUUAUGGUGAGCAAGACCCAGCAGAAUAUAACCUCCCUUACUUCCUCCAAGACAUUGUUCUGAAGAGCUACAUUUCAUCUCAAGCUUACAGAGUUAAUUUUUCUUUCCUCCAUGAGUUAUUUACUGUCGCACGAAUCUUUGACCCCAAUCAGAGAAACCCAGGGCCCUCCUUUGCACUGCAUGUAACUCAUAUAAAAUUCUCGCCACUUGGGUCUCAUUAAACAGCAAACUACUUACAAAUUUAACUGUUUGUCUAAAGGGUGAGGGCAACAAUCGUGGUGACAAUAUCUCUGGAGAAAAUUGUGCUUUUUGCAAGUACCCUGUCGGUGACUCCUUCUCAAAGGACACUCAUCUUCCUGAAGCUAAUGACCAGACCAUUGGACCUGCAAGUGUUGUGCAAGAAGCGUCAAACACCUACCAGGUGGAGUCCAAUAGUGAGAAUGUUGAUGAUCCACAGGACCACCACAAAGAAGGCCCGCAAAGCUUAGUUUUCACCAUGGAGCGGAAUAGAGGAACAAAUGUUUCUCCCAUGCAUAUCGUCAAGGCACUCACAUUAUGUUUUUCCAAAUAAUAGUUAUGACACUAAGUCUACCAUGAAGUUAAACAUUUUGCGUUUAUGAUAUAGAACAUAUUUCAAAUUUUCAGUAACUUUAAAUAAUGUCUACUCUAAGAUUUUAUUAAAAA
This is a long non-coding RNA of Brassica napus (rape), 1063 nucleotides long. RefSeq lists it as uncharacterized. The record is from RefSeq and is a predicted model, not a curated record. The transcript has 3 exons. NCBI's taxonomy places the organism in Eukaryota, Viridiplantae, Streptophyta, Magnoliopsida, Brassicales, Brassicaceae.